Molecule: ribosomal RNA, 400 nt
Filed under: uncultured bacterium
Lineage: Bacteria
Description: bacterial SSU rRNA
Rfam family: Bacterial small subunit ribosomal RNA
Source: RNAcentral
GGGGUUAGUGGCGCACGGGUGCGUAACGCGUGGGAAUCUGCCCCUUGGUUCGGAAUAACAGUUAGAAAUGACUGCUAAUACCGGAUGAUGUCUUCGGACCAAAGAUUUAUCGCCAAGGGAUGAGCCCGCGUAGGAUUAGGUAGUUGGUGGGGUAAAGGCCUACCAAGCCGACGAUCCUUAGCUGGUCUGAGAGGAUGAUCAGCCACACUGGGACUGAGACACGGCCCAGACUCCUACGGGAGGCAGCAGUGGGGAAUAUUGGACAAUGGGCGAAAGCCUGAUCCAGCAAUGCCGCGUGAGUGAUGAAGGCCUUAGGGUCGUAAAGCUCUUUUACCAGGGAUGAUAAUGACAGUACCUGGAGAAUAAGCUCCGGCUAACUCCGUGCCAGCCGCCGCGGUAA